CAAGCGUUCAUAGCGACGU
This 19-nucleotide non-coding RNA is filed under the name Arabidopsis thaliana (thale cress). Lineage: Eukaryota; Viridiplantae; Streptophyta; Magnoliopsida; Brassicales; Brassicaceae. The record is from RNAcentral. RNAcentral also lists the same sequence under 1 other name.